Non-coding RNA from Vombatus ursinus (common wombat), 351 nucleotides. The record is from the annotation of a RefSeq genome assembly. Lineage: Eukaryota; Metazoa; Chordata; Mammalia; Diprotodontia; Vombatidae.
AUGGGUCUGUGCCAAUUUAUUGAGUAUUGCCUUGAUGUCACAGGAGGAACAAGAGCACAAACCGUGAGCCAGCCUGAAGAUCAGGUCACCAUACAUGAACGGGACCCCCUGGAGCUGAGAUGUACUGCCUCAUAUACAGGGAGCCCUACAUUCUACUGGUAUGUUCAGUAUCCCAAACAAAGCCUCGAGAUGCUCCUGAAAUAUCUCUCAGGAAACACUCUGGUUAGAGGUAGCAAAGGUUUUGAAGCAGAAUUUAACAAGACCAAUAAAUCCUUCAACCUGAGGAAAUCAUCUGUCGAAGUGAGCGAUGUGGCUGUUUACUUCUGUGCUGUGAAUGACACAGUGACUUGA